RNAcentral lists this long non-coding RNA (331 nucleotides) under Androctonus crassicauda. The record is from RNAcentral. Lineage: Eukaryota; Metazoa; Arthropoda; Arachnida; Scorpiones; Buthidae.
UAACACUUUACUCGAAGAUAUAGAACAUUAUAUUAACCGACUUAAUACAUCUCUACUCGAACUCAAACAAUUAGAUGAUGACAUCCAUAAUCUGUUAUCCGAUGCAGACUACGCUCUUGACACAGAGAAAUGUGAAGAAUAUAUUGACAACUGUGAGUGCGCUAUCAGCAAAGGAAAGCGACUUAUUCAAGACCGAAAUGAAUAUAUACCACCAAUUUCCCAAGCAAAUGACAUCCAAAGCGCGCAUACUCCUGUCAAUGUGCCUAUACCUCCGAAUUUUUAUACUGAGGCAAAUCAUUCCUCAUACAAACAUCCAUAUGUAAAAUUAUCU